AUGUAUCGGGUGCCCAGGGACCUAAAAAUCCGGAGUAGAUCGCUGUUUAGUGACGCAAAAGUACAACUGCAGCUUGCCACGCUGGUUGUUCUCCGCCUGGACACCGCACAAGAAUGCCGGCCCCUCACAGAGGGAGAAUUCAACCUGCGAAAACUUCUAAAGUUGCGAAUCCUAGGGCUAGCGGCGGUGGAAAGGACUCGGAAGCGCCAGGCGUCUAGGAUAACCUGGUUGUGAGCAGGCGAUGCCCAAACGGCCUUCUUCCAGGCCAAGAUCAAUGCCAGGCGCAGAAAAAAAUUCAUCCACUCGCUGCAAGGACCGGCUGGUGUUGCCACAACACAUGAUGCAAAAGAGGAACUAGUCCACAACCACUUAGACUGAUCUAUAGGGACUAGACAGGGCCGAGCCAGCACAAUUGAUUGGAGCUACAUCGACAUGCCAAGAGUACAAGGUGGUGGGCUAGACAACCCUUUCACCGAGCAGGAAGUGUGGCAAGCAAUCAAGCAAUCGCCAGCGGAAAAAUCCCCUGGCCCGGACGAUUUCUCCGGCGUUUUCUUCAGAACUUGCUGGCAAACCCUAAGAGGGAUAUCAUGGCGGCCUUCCACCAGUUCUACCAUCUCGUCGGGGGCAACUUCCAUAUGCUCAACACAGCUGUUGUAG
This 657-nucleotide ribosomal RNA is filed under the name Triticum aestivum (bread wheat). RNAcentral describes it as "partial small subunit ribosomal RNA". Lineage: Eukaryota; Viridiplantae; Streptophyta; Magnoliopsida; Poales; Poaceae. The record is from RNAcentral.